This 822-nucleotide ribosomal RNA is filed under the name uncultured bacterium. RNAcentral's name for it is "bacterial SSU rRNA". It matches the Rfam family "Bacterial small subunit ribosomal RNA", at positions 572 to 1397 of the family's 1533-position model. The record is from RNAcentral.
UAGGCGGAUCGAUAAGUCAGUGGUGAAAACCUGCAGCUUAACUGUAGACUUGCCGUUGAUACUGUUGGUCUUGAGUAUGGUCAAGGUAGGCGGAAUGUGUAAUGUAGCGGUGAAAUGCUUAGAUAUUACACAGAACACCGAUUGCGAAGGCAGCUUACUGGACCAUCACUGACGCUGAUGCACGAAAGCGUGGGGAUCGAACAGGAUUAGAUACCCUGGUAGUCCACGCCGUAAACGAUGAUCACUCGCUGUUAGCGAUACACAGUUAGCGGCUAAGCAAAAGCAUUAAGUGAUCCACCUGGGGAGUACGGCCGCAAGGCUGAAACUCAAAGGAAUUGACGGGGGCCCGCACAAGCGGAGGAACAUGUGGUUUAAUUCGAUGAUACGCGAGGAACCUUACCUGGGCUUAAAUGUAGAGUGCAUUCUGCCGAAAGGCGGAUUUUCUUCGGAACUCUUUGCAAGGUGCUGCAUGGUUGUCGUCAGCUCGUGCCGUGAGGUGUCGGGUUAAGUCCCAUAACGAGCGCAACCCUUAUCGUUAGUUGCCAGCGGGUAAAGCCGGGAACUCUAGCGAAACUGCCGGUGUAAACCGAGAGGAAGGUGGGGAUGACGUCAAAUCAGCACGGCCCUUAUGUCCAGGGCUACACACGUGUUACAAUGGCCGGUACAGAGGGGAGCUAUGCUGUGAGGCAAUGCGAAUCUCAAAAGCCGGUCUCAGUUCGGAUCGGAGUCUGCAACUCGACUCCGUGAAGCUGGAUUCGCUAGUAAUCGCGCAUCAGCCAUGGCGCGGUGAAUACGUUCCCGGGCCUUGUACACACCGCCCGU